This 479-nucleotide ribosomal RNA is filed under the name uncultured bacterium. RNAcentral's name for it is "partial 16S ribosomal RNA". It matches the Rfam family "Bacterial small subunit ribosomal RNA", at positions 28 to 523 of the family's 1533-position model. The record is from RNAcentral.
GACGAACGCUGGCGGCGUGCUUAACACAUGCAAGUCGAACGGUAAGGCCCUUCGGGGGUACACGAGUGGCGAACGGGUGAGUAACACGUGGGUGAUCUGCCCUGCACUUCGGGAUAAGCCUGGGAAACUGGGUCUAAUACCGGAUAGGACCACUGCCUGCAUGGGUGGUGGUGGAAAGCUUUUGCGGUGUGGGAUGGGCCCGCGGCCUAUCAGCUUGUUGGUGGGGUGAUGGCCUACCAAGGCGACGACGGGUAGCCGGCCUGAGAGGGUGACCGGCCACACUGGGACUGAGAUACGGCCCAGACUCCUACGGGAGGCAGCAGUGGGGAAUAUUGCACAAUGGACGCAAGCCUGAUGCAGCGACGCCGCGUGAGGGAUGACGGCCUUCGGGUUGUAAACCUCUUUCAGCACCGACGAAGCGCAAGUGACGGUAGGUGCAGAAGAAGGACCGGCCAACUACGUGCCAGCAGCCGCCGUAA